This is a long non-coding RNA of Zeugodacus cucurbitae (melon fly), 582 nucleotides long. RefSeq lists it as uncharacterized. The record is from RefSeq and is a predicted model, not a curated record. Lineage: Eukaryota; Metazoa; Arthropoda; Insecta; Diptera; Tephritidae. The transcript has 3 exons.
AACAAAUUAUUUUAUUUAAAAAAUCGUAUUUUUUUAUUAAAAAAAAAAAUAAAUAUUUUCUAUUAUAUGCAAAAUUGGAAAAUCUGUGCUUGAACCCUAAACUCUGACCAACAACAAGUAACGAGAACUUUCGUUAGUCUAAAGCUAGCUAAAAGCGUUAGAAUAUUAUUAUAGAUCUCGAACGAAGUGGACCAGACUGAGUUUACGAAUAAAGGCUACGACUGCGUAAUGAAAUAACUGGAAUACGGCUGUAAAUAUAACUGAAAUACAUGUUUUUAAAAGCAUAGCAAAAGUUGAACUUUCUUAACUCGAAGUUCUCCAUAACUCGAACUUUUGAAUUGGCAAUAGAAGUCAAAUUUCAUACAAAUUACCUUCCGUAACUCGUAGUCUCUCUAACUCGAAACGUUUUUGGGGUAUAUGGUGAUUCGAGUCAAGGAAGUUCAACUGUAAAAGUUUUUAAAGGCAUAUGUAAUGAUAUUAAAUAUUAUUUAUUAAAUUAUAAAUUUUUACCACUUACCAUUUUUCCAUGCGCAUUAAUCGAAAUAAAAUAUAUUUUUUCCAAAUUCAUAAAAAAUAAAAUAC